CAGUGAGGGUGGCUGCGUGUUUCCGGAAGACGUGGCGGCUCUCGCCUGGGCUGUUUCCCGGCUUCAUUUCUCCCGACUCAGCUUCCCACCCUGGGCUUUCCGAGGUGCUCUCGCCGCUGUCCCCAACACUGCAGCCAUGAUCUCCUUAACGGACACGCAGAAAAUUGGAAUGGGAUUAACAGGAUUUGGAGUGUUUUUCCUGUUCUUUGGAAUGAUUCUCUUUUUUGACAAAGCACUACUGGCUAUUGGAAAUAAACUCCUGUAGCCUAUGAUGAAUAUUUCAGAACCAAGAGGAAUACCCUUGGGUGACAUAUUUAUGGGCAGCUUUCCUCUUUAUGCCUUGCCAACUCAUCUGCUUGACUAAGCCCUCCUCAUCCAGCUAAAACUAGGAAAACUACUGCAGACACAGAUGCCCCUUGGUUUUAUUUGUAGCCGGCUUGGCUUUUGUAAUUGGUUUAGAAAGAACAUUCAGAUUCUUCUUCCAAAAACAUAAAAUGAAAGCUACAGGAUUUUUUCUGGGUGGUGUAUUUGUAGUCCUUAUUGGUUGGCCUUUGAUAGGCAUGAUCUUCGAAAUUUAUGGAUUUUUUCUCUUGUUCAGGGGCUUCUUUCCUGUUGUCGUUGGCUUUAUUAGAAGAGUGCCAGUCCUUGGAUCCCUCCUAAAUUUACCUGGAAUUAGAUCAUUUGUAGAUAAAGUUGGAGAAAGCAACAAUAUGGUAUAACAACAAGUGAAUUUGAAGACUCAUUUAAAAUAUUGUGUUAUUUAUAAAGUCAUUUGAAGAAUAUUCAGCACAAAAUUAAAUUACAUGAAAUAGCUUGUAAUGUUCUUUACAGGAGUUCAAAACGUAUAGCCUACAAAGUACCAGCAGCAAAAUAGCAAAGAAGCAAUGAAAACAGGCUUCUACUCAAGUGAACUAAGAAGUCAGCAAGCAAACUGAGAGAGAUGAAAUCCAUGUUACGAUGCUUAUGAAACUCUUGAAGGCUAUUUGUAUUGUUUUUCCACAAUGUGCGAAACUCAGCUAUCCUUAGAGAACUGUGGUGCCUGUUUCUUUUCUUUUUCUUUUGAAAGCUCAGGAGCAUCCAUAGGCAUUUGCUUUUUAGAAAUGUCCACUGCAAUGGCAAAAAUAUUUCCAGUUGCACUGUAUCUCUGGAAGUGAUGCAUGAAUUCAAUUGGAUUAUGUCAUUUUAAUGUAUUAAAACCAAGGAAACCCCAUUUUUGAUGUAUGGAUUACUUUUUUUUUUGUAAACAUGGUUAAAAUAAAACUUUUGUGGUUCUUCUGAAUCUUAAUAUUUCAAAGCCAGGUGAAAAUCUGAACUAGAUAUUCUUUGUUGGAAUAUUCAAAGGUCAUUCUUUACUAACCUUUAGUUCCCAAAUUAUAACUGACUAAGUUUGGUCAGCAACAUACUCUAGAAAUUCUCAUACUUCUUGGGAGUCUGCCCUCCUAAGUAUCUGUUUAUAUCAUUCAUUACAUGUAAGUAUUUAACAAAAAAGCAUUCUUGACCAUGAAUGAAGUAGUUUGUUUCGUGGCUUGUCUCAUUGAAUAGUCUUGUUGAAGAUACUAAAUGAUGCAAACCAAAUGGAUUUUUUCCAUGUCAUGAUGUAAUUUUUCUUUCUUUUUUUUAAUUUUAGCAGUGGCUUAUUAUUUUGUUUUUCAUAAAUUAAAAUAACUUUUGAUAAUGUUUACUUUAAGACAUUAACAUGUUAAAAGGUUAAACUUAGGCUAUUUUUAAAGGGCUAUUCAUUUAAUCUGAGUUUUCCCUUAUUUUCAGCUUUUUCCUUUUAAGCAUGACAUAUCCUUCAUAUGAUCACUCGAGUUAAUUACAAAAUACAUGAGUUCACAUGCUAAAGUUAUUUCACUGUAAUUAAACUGGCUAUAGUUUCUUAAGAACAUGACACUAAAAAAAAAAUGUGUUCUUUUUUCCACCAUUGCUGAUUAUUAGACAGUAGGAAAUAGCUGUUUUCUUUAGUUUUACAAGAUGUGACAGCUUUAGUGAUAAAUGUAGGGAAACAUUUCAACAGCGAUAGUACUAUUUGUUUUACCACUGAUUGCGCUGUUUCCUUUUUUUAACAGUUGCAAAGCUUUUUAAUGCAUAAAAGUAUAAUUGAAAUGUGUGGUAUUUAUUUACAAACAUGUCUACAAAAAUAGAUUACAGCUUAUUUUAUUUGUAGUUAAAUCUCUUGAUACACAGAGAACUCCCAGUCUUGCUCAUCUAAAUAAGGAAAGACUUUGGUGUAUAGUGUAAUGGUUUAGUCUUGAGGAUUACUGACAUUUUUGGUACUUGGAUUUGACUUAAUGAUAUGUCUGUGAAAAUGCGGUAAUGACAAAUGGAGACUCCUACCUCAAUAGUUAAUGGAAUAAUAAGAGCCUACUGUUGUGUCUAAUGUUCUUCAAAAAAGUAAUAUCCUCACUUGGAGAGUGUCAAAUACAUACUUUGAGGAUUGACUUAUAUAAGGUGCCCUGUAGAACUCUGUUACACAUAUUUUCGACCCAUAUUAUUUACAAUGUCUUGAUAAUUCUACCUUUUUAGAGCAAGAAUAGUAUCUGCUAAUGUAAGGGACAUCUGUAUUUAACUCCUUUGUAGACAUGAAUUUCUAUCAAAAUGUUCUUUGCACUGUAACAGAGAUUCUUUUUUUCAACAAUCUUAAUUCAAAAGCAUUAGUAGACUUGAAAGGGUUUGAUAAUCUCCCAGUCCUUAGUAAGAUUGAGAGGCUGGAGCAGUUUUCAGUUUUAAAUGAGUCUGCGGUUAAUAUCAAAUGUGAGUUUGGGACUGCCUGGCAACACUUAUAUUUCUUAUUCAGAACCCUUGAUGAGACUAUUUUUAAACAUACUAGUCUUCUGAUAGAAAGCACUAUACAUCCUAUUGUUUCUUUCUUUCCAAAAUCAGCCUUCUGUCUGUAACAAAAAUGUACUUUAUAGAGAUGGAGGAAAAGGUCUAAUACUACAUAGCCUUAAGUGUUUCUGUCAUUGUUAAGUGUAUUUUCUGUAACAGAAACAUAUUUGGAAUGUUUUUCUUUUCCCCUUAUAAAUUGUAAUUCCUGAAAUACUGCUGCUUUAAAAAGUCUCACUGUCAGAUUAUAUUAUCUAACAAUUGAAUAUUGUAAAUAUACUUGUCUUACCUCUCAAUAAAAGGGUACUUUUCUAUUAA
Molecule: non-coding RNA, 3144 nt
Organism: Macaca mulatta (Rhesus monkey)
Lineage: Eukaryota; Metazoa; Chordata; Mammalia; Primates; Cercopithecidae
Source: RefSeq, a predicted model, not a curated record